This 467-nucleotide ribosomal RNA is filed under the name uncultured bacterium. RNAcentral describes it as "partial 16S ribosomal RNA". It matches the Rfam family "Bacterial small subunit ribosomal RNA", at positions 28 to 506 of the family's 1533-position model. The record is from RNAcentral.
GACGAACGCUGGCGGCGUGCUUAACACAUGCAAGUCGAACGGAAAGGCCCUGCUUUUGUGGGGUGCUCGAGUGGCGAACGGGUGAGUAACACGUGAGUAACCUGCCCUUGACUUUGGGAUAACUUCAGGAAACUGGGGCUAAUACCGGAUAGGAGCUCCUGCUGCAUGGUGGGGGUUGGAAAGUUUCGGCGGUUGGGGAUGGACUCGCGGCUUAUCAGCUUGUUGGUGGGGUAGUGGCUUACCAAGGCUUUGACGGGUAGCCGGCCUGAGAGGGUGACCGGCCACAGUGGGACUGGGGUACGGCCCAGACUCAUACGGGAGGCAGGAGCGGGGAAUAUUCCACAAUGGGCGGAGGCCUGAAGGAGGAACGCCGGGUGCGGGAGGACGGCCUUCGGGUUGUAAACCGCGUUCACCUGUGACGAAGCGUGAUUGACGGUAAUGGGUAAAGAAGCACCGGCUAACUACGU